Molecule: unclassified non-coding RNA, 221 nt
Filed under: soil metagenome
Description: partial contains 5.8S ribosomal RNA, internal transcribed spacer 2, and large subunit ribosomal RNA
Source: RNAcentral
AACGGUCUAUACCUGCGGUACCUGCGGAAGGAUCAUUACCGAGUUUUCAACUCCCUAACCCUUCUGUGAACCUACCUAUCGUUGCUUCGGCGGACUCGCCCCAGCCCGGACGCGGACUGGACCAGCGGCCCGCCGGGGACCUCAAACUCUUGUAUUCCAGCAUCUUCUGAAUACGCCGCAAGGCAAAACAAAUGAAUCAAAACUUUCAACAAUGGAUCUCU